RNAcentral lists this long non-coding RNA (1649 nucleotides) under Sus scrofa (pig). RNAcentral describes it as "lncRNA (ENSSSCG00045035834.1)". The record is from RNAcentral. Lineage: Eukaryota; Metazoa; Chordata; Mammalia; Artiodactyla; Suidae.
GGACUUGACAUCAAGUAAAGGGAGGUUUCCAGGCUCCGCUGAUCAAAGCCCAGCUCCAGUGCUUGAGAUAACUUAGGUAAAACUGCCCUCAGAUAACCAUCUCUUCGGUUUUAACCUCUCUGUAAUGAAAGCGUGUGCUGCCUGAAAUUUUUCAACUCCUGAAUUCAUCUCUGGAGGAUUUGUGAUUCUCAUGUUGCAGGAAAAGUCGGGCAAAUUUGAUGAGUCAUUCUUUCUCUUAACUACUGAACAUUUGUGAGUCCAGCUUCAUACUUUCUAGCCUCGUGAUGUCGUUGGUAAGUGACAUUCAAGAAAUGAAAUAAGAGCUCCAGUCAAUGCUUGUUCAAGAAGAGCACAGGAGUUGCUCCACCAUGGAUCAACCAUGGAAAAAAAUGGACCCCAAGGGUAAUAAUACAGAAAUACUAGUGUUAAAGAGACAGAGAAAGGGUACUUGUGAGAAGAAUACGACACAGCCCACCUUCGAAGGCUUGAAGGUUCCUUAUGUUAAUCUCCACUUGAGGUGUCUUACCAAGCCAAGCUAAGAGUGCUACUCAGCCCGGAUGAAUGAAGAAUAAUGCAUUUGGAAAAGAAUAACACCAAGGAGCCAAUAAGGAAGAUAACUUCAGACAGCUGUGGUGACAAAAACUGCAAAGGAGAGGUGCCAGUGAAUAACAAAUGCAGCGAAAUGGCAGGGGACCGGGCUCCACACAAGGUUAUGCAGCCCCUUGGGGAUUAUUCACAGACUUGGAGUGAAGAUCCCAUAAACAUUGGGAAUGCUCAGAACAGAACCACUCCCAGAGUCAGUGUCUCCAUUUCACACCACACGUGGGCCGCAUCCGCUGCUGUGAGGAUAGCACUGGCUCAGCACCAAAGUCCUUUGCCUACAUUUUUUAAAAAAGUAAAGUCAUUUGAAAAACUUCUGGUUACCAAAGGGGACGGGGUGAGGCAGGAAGGUGGGAGGGAUGGACUGGAGGUUAGGGAUUGGCACAUGCACACUGACGUAUAUGGAAUGACUGGCCAAUGGGGACCUGCUGCAUAGCACAGAGAACUUUACUCAGUAUUCUGUGAUGAUCGAUGUGGGGAAAGAAUCUGAAAGAGAGUGAAGGUGUGUACGCAUGUGUAACGGAGUCGCUUUGUUGUACAGCAGAAAUUAUCACAACAUUGUAAGUCAACUAUACUUCAAUAAAACUUACCAAAAAAGGAAAAUCAUAUCACCAGUAUUUUAAAUACCUACUUUUGCAAUCUGUCCCAAUGGUUAGGUAAUUUUCAUUAGAAAUAGAACCAUAGUUUCUACUUUCAAAGAACUGAAAUAUUGAUGAGUAUUAUUGAAAUAUUUAAAUAAUGAUAAAAAUGAACUGAAGUGGUAGAUUAAUUAUACAAUAUUGAGGAGGAGCAGACUUAGUUUUUUCCAGAGACAUGAUAAUCCAUGAGUUUGAAUUCUGAUUCUGACUUUCAUUAGUUUAAAAAGCUCUCUAAAUCCCAGCUCUUUUUAUCUUCAAAAUGUUCAGAGUUGUUGUGAAGAUAAAGUGUUUAGCAGCAAAUCAUAGCUAUUUUUACAAGCUGAAAAGGCUUCGUGGAGGAGAAUUUGAGCUCAUCUUGAAAGGGCGAUAGAAGUUGGGUAAAUAAAAAGAAGAGAAUGUUCUUACUUGAAC